GACGUAGGGCGCGAGCGUUGUCCGGAUUUAUUGGGCGUAAAGAGCUCGUAGGCGGCUUGUUGCGUCGACCGUGAAAACCCGGGGCUCAACUUCGGGCUUGCGGUCGAUACGGGCGGGCUAGAGUUCGGUAGGGGAGACUGGAAUUCCUGGUGUAGCGGUGAAAUGCGUAGAUAUCAGGAGGAACACCGGCGGUGUAGACGGCUAUCUGGACAGCAACUGACGCUGAGACACGAAAGCGUGGGGAGCAAACAGG
RNAcentral lists this ribosomal RNA (253 nucleotides) under uncultured bacterium. Its description in RNAcentral is "partial 16S ribosomal RNA". It matches the Rfam family "Bacterial small subunit ribosomal RNA", at positions 524 to 776 of the family's 1533-position model. The record is from RNAcentral.